RNAcentral lists this ribosomal RNA (253 nucleotides) under uncultured bacterium. RNAcentral's name for it is "partial 16S ribosomal RNA". It matches the Rfam family "Bacterial small subunit ribosomal RNA", at positions 524 to 776 of the family's 1533-position model. The record is from RNAcentral.
UACGGAGGGGGCGAACGUUAUUCGGAUUUACUGGGCGUAAAGCGAUCGUAGGCGGAAUGUUAAGUUAGAUGUGAAAGCCCUGGGCUCAACCCGGGAACUGCAUUUAAAACUGGCAAUCUAGAGUGUUGGAGAGGAUGACGGAAUUCCAAGUGUAGAGGUGAAAUUCGUAGAUAUUUGGAGGAACAUCAGUGGCGAAGGCGGUUGUCUGGCCAAACACUGACGCUGAGGGUCGAAAGCGUGGGGAGCAAACAGG